Molecule: ribosomal RNA, 244 nt
Filed under: uncultured bacterium
Lineage: Bacteria
Description: partial small subunit ribosomal RNA
Rfam family: Bacterial small subunit ribosomal RNA
Source: RNAcentral
AGAAUCAACGCUGGCGGCGUGCCUAACACAUGCAAGUCGAACGAGAAAGUGGAGCAAUCCAUGAGUAAAGUGGCGCACGGGUGAGUAACACGUGACUAACCUACCCUUGAGUGGGGGAUAACCUAGGGAAACCUGGGCUAAUACCGCAUAAUACCUUCGGGUCAAAGCAGCAAUGCGCUUGGAGAGGAGUUCGCGGCCGAUUAGCUAGUUGGCGGGUAAUGGCCCACCAAGGCGAUGAUCGGUA